Molecule: long non-coding RNA, 213 nt
Filed under: Nicotiana benthamiana
Lineage: Eukaryota; Viridiplantae; Streptophyta; Magnoliopsida; Solanales; Solanaceae
Description: long non-coding RNA (NBEN_LNC037276)
Source: RNAcentral
UCAUCCGGCAUCCUUUUAGUCUUGAAGAUCACGUUGAAUAGCCUAGAGAGCCACUCCCCUCCAGGUUUACCCAUGCACUUCCAAAACUCCAACGGGAUCUCGUCAGGCCCGGUAGCUCGACCCCUACUCAUCCUACGCAACGCCCCUAAAGACCUCCUCCACCCUAAUGCGCCUGCAGUACCCAAGGUCUCUAUGACGCUCUGAAUGCCCNNN